CAAAAUUGUAACACCUUGAGUGUGAGUUAUCUUUUAAAAUUUCGUUUCAAGUAGAAACUUGAUUCUGAAAAGAGUUUGGAUAGAGGUGAAAACAGAGACUCUAGAUACUGUGAGAUAGCGUCUGUGGAAACACGGCUAGUUCUCUAGAGUGAGAAAUGCAACCUUAAUUGAAAAGCUUUUUGCGGAAGCAGUUGUGGACCCAAAUGAUUUCAGAAACAUUUUAAAUCUUUACUUGAUUCAGAAGAUUGAUAAAGUACAUGCAAAGCAUCUAUAAGAGCAUACUGGAGGGAAAGCCUGUUUAUUUCCACUUGAUUACUGUAAG
This 322-nucleotide long non-coding RNA is filed under the name Olea europaea subsp. europaea. The record is from RNAcentral. Lineage: Eukaryota; Viridiplantae; Streptophyta; Magnoliopsida; Lamiales; Oleaceae.